Molecule: ribosomal RNA, 460 nt
Filed under: uncultured bacterium
Lineage: Bacteria
Description: partial 16S ribosomal RNA
Rfam family: Bacterial small subunit ribosomal RNA
Source: RNAcentral
CCUACGGGUGGCUGCAGUGAGGAAUAUUGGUCAAUGGGCGAAAGUCUGAACCAGCCAAGUCGCGUGAGGGAUGACUGCCCUAUGGUUUGUAAACUUCUUUUAUAAGGGAAUAAAGCGCGGGACGUGUGCCUUUUUGCAUGUACUUUAUGAAUAAGGAUCGGCUAACUCCGUGCCAGCAGCCGCGGUAAUACGGAGGAUCCGAGCGUUAUCCGGAUUUAUUGGGUUUAAAGGGUGCGUAGGCGGAUUUUUAAGUCAGUGGUGAAAGUUUGUGGCUCAACCGUAGAAUUGCCGUUGAAACUGGGAGGCUUGAGUACGGUAGAGGCGGGCGGAAUGCGUGGUGUAGCGGUGAAAUGCUUAGAUAUCACGAAGAACUCCGAUUGCGAAGGCAGCCCACUGGACUAUAACUGACACUGAGGCUCGAAAGCGUGGGGAUCAAACAGGAUUAGAUACCCUAGUAGUC